CAACAGGCCUUUAAUUGGCAAGUGUGUACUAUUUUAUCAUAUAGUAAACGAUGAUAAAAUUUAAAAUAAUCUUCAAUGAGUAAUAGUAAGUACUGUGUGUGCCGCAGCCACUGACGUGUUUUCAAGCUAACUCUUUGAAAAAUGUGGGGCAGAAAAACUGUUGUUGUCCCUUGUAAACUUAGAAUUUCUAUGUUUGUAUUUAAUUUUUUUUUCAUUUGUGGUAACUGAAGCAAAAGCUUUUCCAUAACUAAGAAAACACAUGUAUCGGUAGCUGUGUAUUCUGAAAAGUAAAACAUCAUAAAAAAUACUUAUGCAUGAGUAAAGUAUUGUGGAAUAGAAAAAAAAGUUUGUUGAAAAUUUUUACAUUUUUUCUUUUCUUGAACAUUAGUUGCUGACAGGGAUGACUUACAGCUAAUUUUUAUCUUUUUGAGAAAGGCUUUUGCUAUUCAGACUAUGCUGUUCUUAAACUUGACUCUCAAACUUUGCAUCCUCCUGCCUCAGCCUCCUGAGUGCUGGGAUUACAGGCCUAUAUCAUCAUGUCUGUUUUUUUACUUUUAACUCUAAAGAUUUAUUUGAAUAUGACAGAGGCAUUAGUUUAUUUCUAUUGCACUCCUUUUGUUCCUUUUGUGAGUGCUGUUGGGGUUGUCCCUGCAGCCACUGGCACCCUUUCCUCAAUUGGGCACUUCUGAAAUCACAGUGGAGUGGAGCCAGCUCCGUGUACCCAGCCUGUGAACCUCGCUGCAGAGAGAAGCUCUGUUUUCUGCAGCCUAAUAGCUUAGCUCCCCUUUUUUCCAUGUCUUUGUCCAGCUUGUGGCACCUAUGAGCACCUAUGAACAUGAUCUUAUAGAACUGAAUUAAAUAACUGAACUUUCCUCUGGGCUGAGAACAUCAGUGCUGUUGGACCACAUGGACUGAUGUCAAAGCUGUUCAUUUAGCUGUUUCCUUGUACUCUGUAGAUUUAGAAAAACUUGUCUUAUUAAAUAGAAAAUACAUAAUAUCUAAUUCAAAAACAUCUACCAGUACUUGUGGCAAACAUCAAAAGGAUUUAUAGCCAGAAAAUGUCCUGAGCAAUGUAUGUCUCUUUACCAUGUGAUUUGCGGAUUGGGAAAGAGGGUGGAUGAGAAGAAUUUUCGUCUUUCCUGCAGGGUCAGCUUGUCAGGGUGAUUUCAUUAUAUCAUAUGAAAUACUAUGAGCUUUUUUUUUUUCCUUCCCACUCCCAAGAACACUUAAUAGAAUGGAGUAGUUUGAAUUACAGUAAAAAUUCAAAUGAAAUGCAUGAAGUUAAGAACCACAAG
RNAcentral lists this long non-coding RNA (1295 nucleotides) under Cricetulus griseus (Chinese hamster). RNAcentral's name for it is "lncRNA (ENSCGRG00015035433.1)". Lineage: Eukaryota; Metazoa; Chordata; Mammalia; Rodentia; Cricetidae. The record is from RNAcentral.